GGGGAAUUUUGCACAAUGGGCGCAAGCCUGAUGCAGCGACGCCGCGUGAGGGAUGGAGGCCUUCGGGUUGUGAACCUCUUUCGCUCAUGGUCAAGCCGCGGAUGUGUCCGUGGUGAGGGUAGUGGGUAAAGAAGCGCCGGCUAACUACGUGCCAGCAGCCGCGGUAAUACGUAGGGCGCGAGCGUUGUCCGGAAUUAUUGGGCGUAAAGGGCUUGUAGGCGGUUUGUCGCGUCUGCCGUGAAAUUCCCUGGCUUAACUGGGGGCGUGCGGUGGGUACGGGCAGGCUUGAGUGCGGUAGGGGAGACUGGAAUUCCUGGUGUAGCGGUGGAAUGCGCAGAUAUCAGGAGGAACACCGGUGGCGAAGGCGGGUCUCUGGGCCGUUACUGACGCUGAGGAGCGAAAGCAUGGGGAGCGAACA
RNAcentral lists this ribosomal RNA (418 nucleotides) under uncultured Actinomyces sp. RNAcentral describes it as "bacterial SSU rRNA". It matches the Rfam family "Bacterial small subunit ribosomal RNA", at positions 356 to 774 of the family's 1533-position model. Lineage: Bacteria; Bacillati; Actinomycetota; Actinomycetes; Actinomycetales; Actinomycetaceae. The record is from RNAcentral.